UACGUAGGUGGCAAGCGUUGUCCGGAUUUACUGGGCGUAAAGGGCGUGCAGGCGGUUUGUUUAGUCUAGGGUGAAAGCUCCCGGCUUAACUGGGAGAGGUCCUUGGAUACUGGCAAACUUGAGGGAGGCAGAGGAAAGUGGAAUUCCCGGUGUAGUGGUGAUAUGCGUAGAAAUCGGGAGGAACACCAGUGGCGAAGGCGGCUUUCUGGGCCUUACCUGACGCUGAGACGCGAAAGCGUGGGGAGCGAACCGG
Molecule: ribosomal RNA, 253 nt
Filed under: uncultured bacterium
Lineage: Bacteria
Description: partial 16S ribosomal RNA
Rfam family: Bacterial small subunit ribosomal RNA
Source: RNAcentral